UACGAAGGGGGCUAGCGGUGUUCGGAAUUACUGGGCGUAAAGCGCGCGUGGGCGGACUUUCAAGUCAGGGGUGAAAUCCCGAGGCUCACCCUCGGAACUGCCUUUGAUACUGUGAGUCUUGAGCUCGGAAGAGGUGGGUGGAAUUCCUAGUGUAGAGGUGAAAUUCGUAGAUAUUAGGAAGAACACCAGUGGCGAAGGCGGCCCACUCGUCCGAUGCUGACGCUGAGGUGCGAAAGCGUGGGGAGCAAACAAG
This 253-nucleotide ribosomal RNA is filed under the name uncultured bacterium. Its description in RNAcentral is "partial 16S ribosomal RNA". It matches the Rfam family "Bacterial small subunit ribosomal RNA", at positions 524 to 776 of the family's 1533-position model. The record is from RNAcentral.